This is a long non-coding RNA of Empidonax traillii (willow flycatcher), 123 nucleotides long. RefSeq lists it as uncharacterized. The record is from RefSeq and is a predicted model, not a curated record. NCBI's taxonomy places the organism in Eukaryota, Metazoa, Chordata, Aves, Passeriformes, Tyrannidae. The transcript has 3 exons.
UUCUACAGUCUGACCAUAGAGGUUGUGGAAUCUCCCUCACUGGAGAUAUUCAAAAACUGUCUGACGCAAUCCUGUGCCACGUGCUCUAGGAUCACUGUGCUUGAGCAGGGAGGUUGGACAAGA